GCGCCGGUAAGGUGAUAUGAACCGUUAUAACCGGCGAUUUCCGAAUGGGGAAACCCAGUGUGACUCGUCACACUAUCAUUAACUGAAUCCAUAGGUUAAUGAGGCGAACCGGGGGAACUGAAACAUCUAAGUACCCCGAGGAAAAGAAAUCAACCGAGAUUCCCCCAGUAGCGGCGAGCGAACGGGGAGGAGCCCAGAGCCUGAAUCAGCAUGUGUGUUAGUGGAAGCGUCUGGAAAGGCGCGCGAUACAGGGUGACAGCCCCGUACACAAAAGCGCAUGUGCUGUGAGCUCGAUGAGUAGGGCGGGACACGUGGUAUCCUGUCUGAAUAUGGGGGGACCAUCCUCCAAGGCUAAAUACUCCUGACUGACCGAUAGUGAACCAGUACCGUGAGGGAAAGGCGAAAAGAACCCCGGCGAGGGGAGUGAAAAAGAACCUGAAACCGUGUACGUACAAGCAGUGGGAGCACAGGUUUACCUGUGUGACUGCGUACCUUUUGUAUAAUGGGUCAGCGACUUAUAUUCUGUAGCAAGGUUAACCGAAUAGGGGAGCCGGAGGGAAACCGAGUCUUAAUUGGGCGUUAAGUUGCAGGGUAUAGACCCGAAACCCGGUGAUCUAGCCAUGGGCAGGUUGAAGGUUGGGUAACACUAACUGGAGGACCGAACCGACUAAUGUUGAAAAAUUAGCGGAUGACCUGUGGCUGGGGGUGAAAGGCCAAUCAAACCGGGAGAUAGCUGGUUCUCCCCGAAAGCUAUUUAGGUAGCGCCUCGUGAAUUCAUCUCCGGGGGUAGAGCACUGUUUCGGCUAGGGGGCCAUCCCGGCUUACCAACCCGAUGCAAACUGCGAAUACCGGAGAAUGUUAUCACGGGAGACACACGGCGGGUGCUAACGUCCGUCGUGAAGAGGGAAACAACCCAGACCGCCAGCUAAGGUCCCAAAGUCAUGGUUAAGUGGGAAACGAUGUGGGAAGGCCCAGACAGCCAGGAUGUUGGCUUAGAAGCAGCCAUCAUUUAAAGAAAGCGUAAUAGCUCACUGGUCGAGUCGGCCUGCGCGGAAGAUGUAACGGGGCUAAACCAUGCACCGAAGCUGCGGCAGCGACACUCAGGUGUUGUUGGGUAGGGGAGCGUUCUGUA
Molecule: ribosomal RNA, 1132 nt
Filed under: Salmonella enterica subsp. enterica serovar Infantis
Lineage: Bacteria; Pseudomonadati; Pseudomonadota; Gammaproteobacteria; Enterobacterales; Enterobacteriaceae
Description: partial 23S ribosomal RNA
Rfam family: Bacterial large subunit ribosomal RNA
Source: RNAcentral